GAAUAUUGCGCAAUGGAGGAAACUCUGACGCAGUGACGCCGCGUGCAGGAAGAAGGUUUUCGGAUUGUAAACUGCUUUAGACAGGGAAGAAACAAGACAGUACCUGUAGAAUAAGCUCCGGCUAACUCCGUGCCAGCAGCCGCGGUAAUACGGAGGAUGCGAGCGUUAUCCGGAUUUAUUGGGUUUAAAGGGUGCGUAGGCGGUUACUUAAGUCAGCGGUCAAAUGGCGGGGCUCAACCCCGUCCAGCCGUUGAAACUGGGUAGCUUGAGUCGGCGAGAAGUACGCGGAAUGCGCGGUGUAGCGGUGAAAUGCAUAGAUAUCGCGCAGAACUCCGAUUGCGAAGGCAGCGUACCGGCGCCGCACUGACGCUGAGGCACGAAAGCGUGGGUAUCGAACAG
RNAcentral lists this ribosomal RNA (399 nucleotides) under uncultured bacterium. Its description in RNAcentral is "bacterial SSU rRNA". It matches the Rfam family "Bacterial small subunit ribosomal RNA", at positions 359 to 775 of the family's 1533-position model. The record is from RNAcentral.